GAGUUGUAUUAAAUAAGAUUAGUCUGUUUGGCACAACGAACGUUACCUCUGUUCAGGUGUCAACAGUUAAAAGAAGAGAUUAGGUUGGACAACCUGGUCCUUAACCUUCUGGGGUUCAUAAAGCCUUUGGGACUCUGACAUAAGUGGUAGGUUCCUAGCUUCAGAAGAUACAUAUGCACCCGAAACAAAACCCAUGUCAUUUCUCUUACAGCGUAGGGACUUCAUCUUUGCAGAGGAAAAGAAAUUGAACUUGCCUCUCUCCAGGGUCCUUUAGGCUUAAUGGGCUUCAAGCAAUUGAGGAAAGGCCUCUCCCAAAGCCUCUAUAAGUCGAUGAAGGAUGCUGUGAAAAUGAUUGAUUUAGGCACCCAUUUGAGGCUUUUUUUUUGUCCCCCCUCCAAAAGCAGUUCAGCAGAUGGGCAGCAUGAAACUGUAACUCAGUCGUUUUCCUUCCUGGGAGAAGGGGAAUGGGGCCUAUGUACAAGGAGGAAGCCAGGGGUACGGUCAAAACAUGCAGGACUGGGGACUCGCCUAACACACCCGGGAGAGCAAGCCUCGAGGGGAGCAAGAUGGCAUCUCAGCAGGCCAUCUUCCCAGAGCACCCGUGCAGGCCAUAUUGAGAGUCGCCCUAUCUCAGAUCUAUCUCUCCAUCAGCCAGGCUGUACAAUGAAGGUGACCUACAGCAGGGCUGUGGUCAACCUGUCGGGCCUCAGGCAAGAAAAAUUUCUCGGUAUUAUAAACCUUGGGAUUUGGAGACGUAUUUAUCCUUACAGCAGCGACAAACCCAAUUUACCAAUAAAUCUUCAUCCCUGGGAAGAAGAGAAAUGUGAAUGACCAGAGCAACCCUCACUAACUUGUGGAGUAACAGAUUCUAGGAUGCAGCCUAGACCAGAGUUCUUAGAAGAGAAAAACUGAUGUUAGAAGCAAGGAUGGUCUAAUCCAUCAUGAGACCGAGAGACUCCACAGCCAGCAGAGCACAAAGACUCAAAAGAAGCUUCUCUAUGACAGCCUUGGGAGAGAGUUUGUGACUGUGCGGAUAAUUAGCUUCAGACUUCUGGAUUAUGGACUGUUUCAGAAUAAAGUUCUGUUGGGCUGAGCUGCCCAGAUCAUAAUAA
This is a long non-coding RNA of Rattus norvegicus (Norway rat), 1112 nucleotides long. The record is from Ensembl. NCBI's taxonomy places the organism in Eukaryota, Metazoa, Chordata, Mammalia, Rodentia, Muridae.